RNAcentral lists this unclassified non-coding RNA (3359 nucleotides) under Hevea brasiliensis (rubber tree). Lineage: Eukaryota; Viridiplantae; Streptophyta; Magnoliopsida; Malpighiales; Euphorbiaceae. The record is from RNAcentral.
CUCUCUCUCUCUCUCUCUCUGUGGGAAGUGAUAAUUCUGUUCAAUGUGGAAAGAGAAAUUGAAGCCUGCAAUCACAUCUUUCACUCCUGAUGGCGACUUCCUCGCCAUUUUAUCUCCAAAUGGAACUGUCAAAAUCUGGAAUACAGGCAAUGGAAGUUUAUUGGCAGAUUGGAAGCAAUCAGAUGACUGCCCUGUUAAUUAUUCAUGUAUAGCCUGCAGUUCUGUUGGAAAGAAGCGUAAAAAAGAACAUGGGUCGCUCUUAUUAGCUCUUGGCACAAUUGAUGGAGAUAUUUUGGCUAUUGAUGCUAUCACCAAUGACACAAAGUGGAAAUCUAGUGGAUGUCUCCCAGGGUACAAUUUUUAAGUUUGUAAGAUUUGCAUUUCCUCUUUUGUGGUCGAUAUUAUGUGUGGAGAGUUUUAUAAGCAAGUGAAUAACUGUAUUUUCUCAGUGUAAGCUAAUUAAGUGAAUGCUAUUUUUUCAAAGAGCACCUGAUCUUUGGCUGUGACAUCCAUUCAUAAUGACUUAGAUAAAAUGUAAGAUGAGUAAUAAAAUACACUUUCUUUUUCCUUAUGCAGUGGAGUCAUUGGUCUCUCUUUUGCGAAUAAAGGCCGCACUCUGCAUAGCGUUGGCACUAAUGGAAUGGCAUAUAAGAUGAAGUCAGAAUCUGGAGAGCUGAUAAUGGAAUUUAAAGCAUCCAAGAAGCCCAUUUCUUGUGUGGCUUUUUCUAGUGAUGAGAAUAUUUUAGCUCUAGCUAGCAAUAGGACACGGGUUCUGAGCCUGGAGAAUGGAAAAGAGCUUCUAAGGUUCCCUGAUUACUUGGGUCCAGUGCAGGAUAUUUCUGUAGCUAAUAAUGCAAAGACUAUUAUUACAUCAAGUUUUGGGGAGAAAAAUCUUUAUUUAUGGAAAUGUGAUUUGAGUUCCAAAAGUGUAAGUCGUGGUCCUGUUCUUUCCAUGCGACAUCCUCCAUUAGUCUUUGAAUGCAAGAAUAGGGGUGAAGAAAAAGAAGAUGGUUUAGUUGUCUUAGCAGUAUCAGAGGCAGGCAUAGCCUGUGUUUGGAAUUUCGAGACCAUGUCACAAGAUGAGGUUAAUCCAACAAAAAUCAAAGCAAAAGGUAACAAAACUGAAACAAACCAGCAGAAGGGUGAAAAUUCCAAGAAGAGUCGCACUUCAAUUUUGGCUGCCAGAUUACAUAAUCUAGAGGAUGAAAAACAGUUGACAGCCAUUAUUGCUUAUGGUUUAAUAGAUUCUCCACAGUUUAGCAUAGUGAACAUCAACAACUCUGGGGGGAACAUUGUUGUCAGUGCUGCAGAUAAAACUGAAAAUGCUGGAGAAAAUGGAAUUCUGCCUAGGAAAGAUCUCCAUGAUUUGGAAUCAGAAGCAACACUUGCCUCAACCCAAAAUAAAAAAACAAAGAAGAAACAAGCUGCAUCUGAUAUGAUAGGAGAUGUUGAUUCUGAUAAUUGUGAGGCUAUGGAUGGAGUCCUCGUGGAAGAUGAUAUGAAUGAGCCAACCAUGGGUGAGAAACUUGCAAGCUUAAAUUUACAAGAUAUUGAUAAACCCAAGAGACAUGAGAAACAGGAAUCACCUCCUUUGCCAAAGCCACCUAGUGCAGACUCAGUCAAUGUUGUUCUCAAGCAAGCAUUACAUGCUGAAGAUCAUGCUCUUCUACUAGAUUGCUUGUAUACCCAAGAUGAGAAGGUUGUUUGCUCUUUUUUUGUUAAGGAUGAUGGUACAGUAAGGAACAAAAGUCCACAAUAUAACAGAAUAACAGAUAAAGUAAGGGCAUUUUGUACUAUCAUUAAUUAGUUGCUGUAUAUGCUACCUAGGGGUGUAAUCUAGUCAAUAUAAUGCACUACUUUGAAUUCAACUAAAAAAACUCAAGGCUUGAAGCUCAACUUACGUUACUAAAAUUUCAUGUCAAGUUUUUAAUCAGUUUUAAGUUAAAGCUUGAAUGAACUCCAGUGAGCUGAGUCUUGUUUUUACAUAUUUAGGAUAACAUAAUAAAUAUUCUAAAUUACUAUUUACAAAUGACUCAUGAUAUAAAUAUAUUUAAGGUUUUAUGAAAAAUUAAGUAGUCAAUUGGACUCGUGAGCUACUUGAGUGAAUUAUUUUUCAAACUCAGCUUGACUCGAGCUACUCAAUAGAAGUAUAGUUGAGUUUCAAUACUUUGCCAGUCAGAGUAGUAUAGCUUGACUUUUUACAUCCCUGAUACUGCCAAUGUACUUGGGUGCAUUGCCUUUGUGUGUUUCCAUUCAAGCUGAUUCUUAUUCUUUCAAUUGUCGAAUGACAAAAAAAUCAUGUUUUACAGGUUAUUGCAAAUUCAAUCUCCCAGCUUAAUCCAUCUGAUGUCCUCAAGCUUUUGCACUCUCUUCUAACCAUAAUUGAUUCAAGGGGAGCAAUCUUGGCAUGUGCCCUCCCUUGGCUAAAACGUUUACUUCUUCAACAUGCAAGUGGAAUAAUGUCCCAGGAUUCUUCUUUGCUUGCCCUGAACUCUUUAUAUCAGCUAAUUGAAUCCAGAAUCUCAACUUUCCAAUCAGCUAUUCAGCUGUCAAGUUGCUUAGACUUGCUCUAUGCAGGGGUGGUUGAUGAUGCAUCAGAAGAAAAUGAAACAGUAAUUCCAGUAAUUUAUGAAGACAAGGAUGAAAGUGAUGAACAAGAAUCUGAUGAGGCCAUGGAAACUGAUCAAGAUAGUGAAGAAGAGGAAGAAGAAGAAUUUGGUGGACUUAGUGAUCUUGAAAGAGGUGAUGACAUGAGCGAAUAAAUAUAACGUCAUCCAAGGCUAUUUUGCGUUGUUCAUGGGAACAAUAUUUAAAACGGAUUUGGAAUUUUAUGUUCUGGGGACGUUCAUCCAUGCCAGUCCUCAUGAUGAGAGUCUGCCCGACUCUAAUGGCUUUGUUACAAAAAUCAUUUUCCUGGAGAUAAGAGAACAUUUUGGAUUGGCGGCGGACUGGAUGAGUUUCAAAGAAAUGCCUUGGUUCUGCUACUUCUGAUCGUGUUAUUACUAGCUAACAUGCAAGAAGCUUGAUUUUAUCGGCUCAACCAUUUGUCAAUUUGACUUCCUUGAUAAAACGGAUUGCAGGAUUCUGAUCAUUACUACUUCACAAAGAAACCACGUUAACUGUUGUACCUUAUCUUUCUUUUUUCCCGUUAUGUAAAUGAUUUUGAGUGAUUUGCUGAGCAAAAUCUCAACCUUUCUUAGAAAUGAAAGACCCACAUUGACAUUCUUGACUUUGCAUAUUGAACAAAAUCUCAACCUUUCUUAGAAAUGAAAGACCCACAUUGACAUUCUUGACUUUGCAUAUUGAACAAAAUUCAAACCAAUGAACAGUUUCAUAUUAGUAAGAACUAAAAGCACCUU